UACGGAGGGGGGCUAGCGUUGUUCGGAAUUACUGGGCGUAAAGCGCACGUAGGCGGCUUUGUAAGUUAGAGGUGAAAGCCCCGGGGCUCAACUCCGGAAUUGCCUUUAAGACUGCAUCGCUAGAAUUGUGGAGAGGUAAGUGGAAUUCCGAGUGUAGAGGUGAAAUUCGUAGAUAUUCGGAAGAACACCAGUGGCGAAGGCGACUUACUGGACACAUAUUGACGCUGAGGUGCGAAAGCGUGGGGAGCAAACAGG
This 255-nucleotide ribosomal RNA is filed under the name uncultured bacterium. Its description in RNAcentral is "partial 16S ribosomal RNA". It matches the Rfam family "Bacterial small subunit ribosomal RNA", at positions 524 to 776 of the family's 1533-position model. The record is from RNAcentral.